Molecule: ribosomal RNA, 460 nt
Filed under: uncultured bacterium
Lineage: Bacteria
Description: partial 16S ribosomal RNA
Rfam family: Bacterial small subunit ribosomal RNA
Source: RNAcentral
CCUACGGGUGGCAGCAGUGAGGAAUAUUGGUCAAUGGACGAGAGUCUGAACCAGCCAAGUAGCGUGAAGGAUGACUGCCCUAUGGGUUGUAAACUUCUUUUAUAUGGGAAUAAAACGUUCCACGUGUGGGAUUUUGUAUGUACCAUAUGAAUAAGGAUCGGCUAACUCCGUGCCAGCAGCCGCGGUAAUACGGAGGAUCCGAGCGUUAUCCGGAUUUAUUGGGUUUAAAGGGAGCGUAGGUGGAUUGUUAAGUCAGUUGUGAAAGUUUGCGGCUCAACCGUAAAAUUGCAGUUGAAAAUGGCAGUCUUGAGUACAGUAGAGGUGGGCGGAAUUCGUGGUGUAGCGGUGAAAUGCUUAGAUAUCACGAAGAACUCCGAUUGCGAAGGCAGUUCACUGGACUGCAACUGACACUGAGGCUCGAAAGUGUGGGUAUCAAACAGGAUUAGAUACCCUUGUAGUC